AUGCGCGACGACGCCUAGGCCUGUGGCACGGUCGCGGCUCUAGUCCCCUGGGCCCCUCAGCUGUCUCUGGCGGGGAGGUCGGGCCGCAGGGGCGGGGAGGGGUGGCCUGCCCCAGUGGUACCUGACAGCAUCCCACGUCACGGCCGCGAUCCCCCUCGGCCUCCCACACCACUCCUCCACCCUCUUACCUCCUCGCAGGCCGGAGCCUUGUCCGCUCCGCCUCCUGGGUAGCGGUUACUGCACGGUCAGGGGCCCGGCGCCGCGAUGAGUUGGCGCCUCCCCCUGAAACGGCCCGGCCUCGGCGGGAUGCGCUCGGGUGCCCGGCCGAGACGGAAACGAAGGGAGCGCAGACAAGAGGAGGGGGCUGGCGACGGCGUCUCGCCCCUCCUCUCCUCCCUAGGCUGCCCACCGCCGCCCCUCCCCUUUCUCGCAGACGCCCCCUCCCCUCGGAGUUGACCCCCGGGAGUCUCCCAUUGGGGCCGCCUCCGCUUUUCCAGGGAGUUCCUCCGUGGGUCACCCCCACCUUCUCCAGGGUUAUGUUCUCGCAAAUUUUGGGAAUUUGUGGAUACCCGACCUAGAAGGAUAAGGCGUGUAUGAUGCUGAGAGCAACCUUUUCCACAGCCCCUCUCCUCCAGCCUGCCCCAGCUUUUCUUCUAUUGCUGGCCCCUCUAUCUGGGGGCUCCGAUCACUUCACGUUUUCACCCCAUUGCUGUGGGGCGGAAGUCUUGUAGCCCCCUGUAGUACAAAUGCUGAAAUAAUGAGGAUGUGUGCUGGGGGGUUCAGGGGGAUGACCUCAGUUACCUUGGGGCCAAGGGCUUCGAAAACAGCCACCUUCUCCCCUUAUGAUUAUAUUUUGCAGUAAUUUAUUAUAUUACACUGCACUUCUGUUGGCCUUUGUAGAUUUAAGUAAAAUGCACCACAA
Molecule: long non-coding RNA, 922 nt
Filed under: Homo sapiens (human)
Lineage: Eukaryota; Metazoa; Chordata; Mammalia; Primates; Hominidae
Description: non-protein coding lnc-CYSLTR2-3:1
Source: RNAcentral